This 433-nucleotide ribosomal RNA is filed under the name uncultured bacterium. RNAcentral describes it as "partial 16S ribosomal RNA". It matches the Rfam family "Bacterial small subunit ribosomal RNA", at positions 29 to 507 of the family's 1533-position model. The record is from RNAcentral.
AACGAACGCUGGCGGCAUGCCUAGCACAUGCCAGUCGAACGAGACCUUCGGGUCUAGUGGCGCACGGGUGCGUAACGCGUGGGAACCUACCCUUAGGUUCGGAAUAACUCCCCGAAAGGGGUGCUAAUACCGGAUAAUGUCUUCGGACCAAAGAUUUAUCGCCUUUGGAUGGGCCCGCGUUGGAUUAGCUAGUUGGUAGGGUAAAAGCCUACCAAGGCGACGAUCCAUAGCUGGUCUGAGAGGAUGAUCAGCCACACUGGGACUGAGACACGGCCCAGACUCCUACGGGAGGCAGCAGUGGGGAAUAUUGGACAAUGGGCGAAAGCCUGAUCCAGCAAUGCCGCGUGAGUGAUGAAGGCCUUAGGGUUGUAAAGCUCUUUUACCCGGGAUGAUAAUGACAGUACCGGGAGAAUAAGCUCCGGCUAACUCCGUG